RNAcentral lists this ribosomal RNA (406 nucleotides) under uncultured bacterium. RNAcentral describes it as "partial 16S ribosomal RNA". It matches the Rfam family "Bacterial small subunit ribosomal RNA", at positions 29 to 526 of the family's 1533-position model. The record is from RNAcentral.
AACGAACGCUGGCGGCAUGCCUAACACAUGCAAGUCGAACGAAGGGGCGCACGGGUGCGUAACGCGAGGGAAGAUGCCAUAGGGUCGGAAUAACAGCUGGAAACGGCUGCUAAUACCGGAUGCCUGAGGAUGAGCCCGCGUUGGAUUAGGUAGUUGGGGGGGUAAAGGCCUACCAAGCCGACGAUCAAUAGCUGGUCUGAGAGGAUGAUCAGCCACACUGGGACUGAGACACGGACCAGACUCCUACGGGAGGGAGCAGUGGGGGAUAUUGGAAAAUGGGCGAGAGCCUGAUCCAGCAAUGCCGCGUGAGUUAUGAAGGCCCUAGGGUUGUAAAGCUCUUUUACCCUGGAAUCUGUACCUGGAGAAUAAGCCCCGGCUAACUCCGUGCCAGCAGCCGCGGUAAUUC